This 21-nucleotide unclassified non-coding RNA is filed under the name Chlamydomonas reinhardtii. Its description in RNAcentral is "small RNA Cre_0680". Lineage: Eukaryota; Viridiplantae; Chlorophyta; Chlorophyceae; Chlamydomonadales; Chlamydomonadaceae. The record is from RNAcentral.
AUCAUCAUCGUGCUUGGCUGG